This 504-nucleotide long non-coding RNA is filed under the name Naja naja (Indian cobra). Its description in RNAcentral is "lncRNA (ENSNNAG00000006327.1)". The record is from RNAcentral. Lineage: Eukaryota; Metazoa; Chordata; Lepidosauria; Squamata; Elapidae.
CUCUUCCACUCCUUCCAGGUUUCAUCUUCUCCAAGAUCUCCAGAACUUCAUUGAAGGAAAAGGGCCAAAACCCCCACCUUCAAAAAGAGUCACCAAUAUUGAAAGGAUUAUCAAAGGGAGAGAGGAUGAACUCAGAGCAAUUCAAGCAAAAGCCAAGGUGGAAAAAUCCAAAGAUUAGGAAUCUCUGCUUCCAUAAUAGCCUUUGAGCAAAACAGAAUACCUUGUAGCAGACAGUUCCAGAUUACGUGGUGAAACUGAGAACGUCAUGCCUAGAUCAUCCCUGUCCUUGGCAGUUUGUUUGGGAUAUUUUGCUAAAAUUAUGUGCCAUGAGCUACGUGCCCAAAAUGCGUGACAUUUUGAAGAUUCCGAGUCAGAAGAGUUGUCCAAAUAAGGCUGGGAAGACAAACUGGCAAACCAGCCUAGAAGAACCCAAGCAGAGUCCAAGAACUGAACAAAAGCCUCAAGACUGCUUCAUUCCUCCUGCAGUGCCCUGACUGGUAGAUG